UACGGAGGUCCCAAGCGUUGUUCGGAUUUACUGGGCGUAAAGGGUGCGUAGGUGGUGAGGUAAGUCUGAUGUGAAAUCUCCGAGCUUAACUCGGAAAUGGCAUUGGAAACUACCUUGCUAGAGGGUUGGAGGGGGGACUGGAAUACUUGGUGUAGCAGUGAAAUGCGUAGAUAUCAAGUGGAACACCAGUGGCGAAGGCGAGUCCCUGGACAACACCUGACACUGAGGCACGAAAGCUAGGGGAGCAAACAGG
This 253-nucleotide ribosomal RNA is filed under the name uncultured bacterium. RNAcentral describes it as "partial 16S ribosomal RNA". It matches the Rfam family "Bacterial small subunit ribosomal RNA", at positions 524 to 776 of the family's 1533-position model. The record is from RNAcentral.